CAAGUACUCCCUCCAUCUGAAAAUACUUGUCAUCAAAAUGGAUAAAAAAGAUGUAUCUAGAACUAAUAUACAUUUAGAUACAUCCCCUUUUAUUCAUUUUGAUGACAAGUAUUUCCGGACGGAGGAAGUACUAC
Molecule: non-coding RNA, 134 nt
Organism: Triticum aestivum (bread wheat)
Lineage: Eukaryota; Viridiplantae; Streptophyta; Magnoliopsida; Poales; Poaceae
Source: Rfam